CGGGAAAAGGGAAAGGCUUAGUGGCGGACGGGUGAGUAACGCGUGGGUAACCUGGCCCAUACAGGGGGAUAACACUUAGAAAUAGGUGCUAAUACCGCAUAACAACAGAAAGCGCAUGCUUUUUGUUUGAAAACCAAGGUGGUAUGGGAUGGACCCGCGUCUGAUUAGCUGGUUGGCGGGGUAAAGGCCCACCAAGGCGACGAUCAGUAGCCGGCCUGAGAGGGUGGACGGCCACAUUGGGACUGAGACACGGCCCAAACUCCUACGGAAGGCAGCAG
Molecule: ribosomal RNA, 278 nt
Filed under: uncultured bacterium
Lineage: Bacteria
Description: partial 16S ribosomal RNA
Rfam family: Bacterial small subunit ribosomal RNA
Source: RNAcentral